Long non-coding RNA from Rattus norvegicus (Norway rat), 19101 nucleotides. RefSeq lists it as uncharacterized. The record is from RefSeq and is a predicted model, not a curated record. NCBI's taxonomy places the organism in Eukaryota, Metazoa, Chordata, Mammalia, Rodentia, Muridae.
CUUCUUGGUCUCACAGUUAUUGACAGGGAUGGGGUCAGUAAUACGUGCUCCAAAUCCAUUAUGCUGUGAGCUUAGUCCAGGGGCAGCUGUUUGGCCAUGUGUAGAUUUUCUUGAAUGGAAUCUCAAUCCGCUGUUGUAUGUCCUUCACAUCAUUGCUGCAGAGUGACAACAGGAGAUUUUCUACUCAUUAGACAAGAGACCUCACAGACAAAUCUUAUGUGGAAAUGCUCUCACAGACAGAUCCAACUCCAAGAACUCAGGACCACCAGACGAAGAGUAGCCCAACCCUUAAUGAUCUGGUCCCUUCCACAUCAAUCACUAAUUAAGAAGAUGCCUUACAGGCUUGCCUACACAGAGCAAGUCUUUCCGUCUCUCAAAACACCCUCAUCGAUACAUCCAAGUUGUGCUAUUUCUUAAUCCAAUAAAGUUGUUCGACAAAAUUAGCCAUCACAGCUUUCGAAGAGUAACAACAACAAAAGCCUGUGAAGGGAGAUUGUGGGCAUGAGAAAGGGACCAAGAAGAGGCAGGAGGGGGUAAGUCAGAGAAACCUGACCUAAGUGUAUUUUAUGCAGGUAAGGAAAUUAUGAGAUGCAUUAUUCUGUACAAUUAAUGGGCACUAAUGAAAAAGUUACAAAACGUUAAUGCAUGCAAUUCUCAUAUAAAAAUUUAGGGUAAUAAAACUUGUAUAUUCAUAACCAAACAUUUUUAUUAGUGAUACCAUAAUCCUAAAGAAAACUUGAACUAGGACAUAAAAAUCCCUAGUUCUUACAUUAAUUUGUUCUGCACCAAUGAAUAAUAAAAAGCAAACAGAUUCCAGUGUUACCUGCCAUAUAUCGUGUGUGUUCCUGGCUAGUUGUGAAGGUUUGCAACAACGUUAUUAAAGUCACACCUAUAGGAUCAGCACAUCCAGCCUUUAUGUCAAAUCUCAUUUGAAAUAUACAAGAAAUGCUGCACUGUCUUUCUGACACAAGGAUUUUUUAAAAAAAAUAAUGUUAUGGCUUGGAUGUGAUUCAGAAAAAAAAAAGUGUCAUACCUCCAACACAAUGUAAUGGUUAAGUGUGAGAUUAGAUUUUUUCCCAAAAAGUCCUAAGUGACAUGUUUGUGAGUUUAGAGUCCCCUGCUUAAUGGAACAGACCACCCUGCUACUUGCACAUCACAGUGCUGACAACAUUGCUCAGCAGUCCAUCUGUCUGUGGGCAAUUGGAAUCCUAACCCUUGCACAGAGUUGGAGGUGGCAGUGAUGGCAUUUCAUUUCCUUGUGUCCAGUGCUGAACACGAUAUAUUUUCUCUCGGUGCUUGGAGUUCUGGGCUAACUGAACCCCAUACCACCACCACCACCACCACCUGAAUUUUCUCACUUUGUAGCUCUUCCCUGUCUUAGGUGUAUGUUUGUGGUCCACUUUAGUUUAUUUUAUUACAAGUCAACAUUUGGAAAAAUAUAGCCAUCAGUAAUGACUGCUUCUUCUGAAAGAUUAUUACUGGAAGGAAUUCAUGACUGUUGAGGAGUGGCCCUCUGUUCUGAAGAGAAACUGACUUAGAGGAAACAUUCAGGGUACAUUUGACAUUACUGACUGAGGACAGUUCUCAAAGGUACUGUUCUCUUUUAACUACGCAAUCCUCAGGGUUCAGGAAUGAAUUAGAAGACAACUGCUUUGACAUAUAGGUGCUCACAAUUUUCUAAGGCCAUUAUAUAUAAUCUGUCCUGAUUUGAUGACUUGUUCCAUAGACUUGUUCAUUCCAUAGCAUCUUCCAGAUGCUAAGACCAAGCCCAAGGCUCUCACAUACAUGACAGGAAGUGUGUCAGUGCUUACGAAGUUAGAAUAUGAGUUUGGGGUAUCAAGAGAAAUGGUGAAUUCUCUUACAGGAAAUGGAACAGGAAGCACUCAGAGAAAAACACAUAGAAAGUAAACUAAUGCGUUCAACAGAUGCACCAUUCACCUCUGUAACGUCCUGAUGCUGUAGAGCUUGAAAGCCUUUAGAGCAUCCGGUAAGACACAUUUCAGUGGAAGGAACUAAAAAGACUAUAGGAGAAGAAAAUAGGAAAGUAUUUUGCCCUAUGCCAGAUCGAUGUGAUCCAUUAUUUACCCAUCAACUCUAGCCUAGUUAGAAUAAGUUCAUUCACUAAAAGAACAGUCGGAGAGCUACUGUUCUCUGAAGUUCUCUAUAACAGACUGAAGUCCAGAUUUCAGUGAUUAAGAAAGUUCAAAAGAAGGAGGUCAGGAGAAAGUGAGAAUCUCGCGACUAAAGGAUGGGUAGAGGUUUUCAUAAGUGAGGAUUAGACCAGUCUGUGUGCCAGAAAGGUGUUAACCUGAGCUUCCCGUAAUGAUAUUCUGCAUCACCAUGCUGUCCACACACAACAGACACAUGCAGACCUAUUAGCAAAUGAGUUUGAACUGGUGUGUGAAUUAUAAGUUUCCAGUUUUAAAAUUGUUGACUGGUAAUAUUUAUUAAAUACUAUUAACUCUUGGCACAGGAUAGGGGGAGAAGGCUAAAUUCUUCUUGCUUCCUCCUAUACACCCAUCAGUAAUGCACUGGUCAGCGUAUGCACGGAGGCCGAGCAUUACAGUGCGUGGUGGCUCACUAGGAACAGCCCUAGUGGAGUUAAUUGAAUUCCUAUCACCAAACUAGUUGUGGUAGGAUGCUGUGAAGGGGAGUGUGCUGCUAAUAAGCAAAGUCAGUUUGGCUGGAUUUACAACCAUUUAGAACAUGUAACCCCCGGGUGUCUGUGAGGACAUUUCCAGAGAGUUUAACUGAGGAAGGGAGACCCAAUCUAAGUAUAGGCAAUGCCAUCCUAUGAGGACCCAGAAAAAAAAAAAAAAAAAAAACAAAACCAUCUGAGUGCUAACACACUGUUCAAAGCUGAUCAACCCAAAAGAGAGCACAUUCCCACCACCAUGUCUGUCAUCCUCGCCUGUAGCCAUGUGUCCUUCCACGUGAAGGCAUUUAGAUACCUGCCAUCUAACCCCUUAAACUGUCAACCAAAAUAAGUCCCCUUUUCUCUCUAGUUGCUCCGUGUAAGAUAUCUGGUCAUAAGAAUAAGAAAAGUAAAGAACUUUGAAAACAGGUAUGGAGAGUCAAAGCCAUCACUGGGCAAAACCUGACCAUGUGGUCUGUAAACUUGGGGGACCAGUUUUCCAGAGUAAUGUGGAGCAAUUUGGAGUUACAGGCUAGAGAAACCCUAGAGUGGUAUACAGAGAAUGUCUUAGGCCAUCCACAGGUUCUAAGUGGUUCUAAAUCCAGGCAAGCUGGUAUUGAUUAUUAACUAUUUCUUCCACACCAUCCUACAAGAAGAAGGUCUUAUGGCAGAAUCAGUUGUCCUCAGAUCAUUGGGGCUUUUCCUAGUGAGCCGCCAUCACUGAAAUGUCAAGCUUCCAUGAAUAUAUUGACCAGUAAAUUACUGACGGCUGUAUCAGACAAAGCAGAGUCCAGCCAUAUCUUCCCAUCCCUUGCCAAGAAUUAAAAGUAUCUAAUAAAUAUCACCAGAGUCAGAAUUUUUAAAGCUGGAAAUUUAAAAAUCACAGGCUAGUUCAAAUUCCUUUCUUAAUACUUCGGCAGAAAUGCAGAAAGUAAGACUCAUGAGGUUCCAGAAGAGAAUGGAAUCCAACAAGGAGCCUUCAUGGAUUCUGGCACAGAAUCUGGCUGUGUAUUGCCCAUGUUCUGGAAAUUUGAGUGGGGCUGAAUUCAAAAGAAGUGGGACUAAGUUACUUGGUAGAGAAAAGCCAAGACAACCCAGCAUGCAGGCUGUGGUACACAGUUGUGUUUAUCGCUCUUACCUCUGCAAUGAGCGAGUAGAUGAUAUGAAAACUGCUGUUUUUAGAAAAUAAAAGAGAGUGGUGGGAGAAUGUAAUCAAAUUAGGGUGGGUGUAGAGAAAGUCACCACAACUGUUAGAGAUCCAAAGGACAAUAGGAGAGGUACCCUGGGGGCAAGACCACACCCAUGGAAGCCUCCACUUGUGAAAAUGCAAAUUCAAUGGAAAGGAAAAGAGCUUAGGCUGAGAAACCACCCCAAGGUUUUCCUACCCUCAGCCUAAGGAAGCCUUUGCCAGGGCACAGAGAUGUGUAGAGAUGUGGUUGAAGUAGUAUAAGUGGAAGGCAUCUGAGCCAGUGUUUCUAGGUUCUUGGCCUCCUGUUCAAAGGAAAGAAAUAAGACCUCACAGGCAUUCACCAAAGUAGCUUGGUAACUUUAUUCAAAGCAAAGAGAUAGAACAGAUUAGAGAGGUUGGGGAAGACCAUGAAGACUGACAGCAGGCCACAGAGGGAAGCUCAGUAGCCCCUAGGUUACAACCUGAGGUCUAUUUUAAUGGCAUCUAAAGAAACGGAGAGCCUGGUUAUUAAGGGACACGGUUUUCUAUUUUGAUGGUAAAUUAGGUCCUAUCUCCAUUUUCUUCUAUUGUGCCUGCCCCUUCCCCAAAUGACUCUAAUUAUAAUCAUAUGCAUGCCUAAUUUUUGUGUAAACAUACAAUGGAACCUUUCCAAAUUCUAUUCUGAGAACACAAUUUUGCCUUACUGCUCUUGUAUCUCAAACCAGUUCUUUCCAGAUUGGCUUUUGAAGUCUUUGAAUCUGGAUACAUGGGGGAUUUAUUUCAACAAAACUGAUCUGAAUAUUGUUAGGGGAAAAGCAGCUUAUUUCUUUGUCAAGGGGAGUACCUGUAUAUAUCCAGGUAGAGGUCUGAUGUUGCUAAGUAAAUUGUUUGGAAAGGGGUAGCUGUCUGCAAUACUCCGAGGUGAAGAGCCGGAUCACUGAGUUCAUCAUCAGAAGAGAUGGAUGCUCAGAUCCUAAUUCAAACAGAGUCCUAAGCUGCUAUUUCUGUGCUUGCUUGACACUGCAAGCUCGCUACAGAGCUUGGCAGCAUCACCCACAUGACGUUCUUUCUGCAGGCAUUCAAAGUGCAAGAGAUACAGGGAGAGGGAAGAGCCCACAGCAAGUUUCAGAAAGCCCUGAGGCCAGAUAAUGUGUGGUAGCCUCCUAUUUCCUGGAAGAAGGCCCUCAGGAUACAGUACAUAGAACUUUGAACAUAAAGCCUAUGUUACAGUGGCGAUCCCAAGGUGUUGGAGAUGGCAGGGCCAUGGGGCAUUAGUAGAGGAAAGUUGAAGGUCUUAAGUAGAGCCAGCCCAAGAGAAAAGAUGUUUGUGCUUUGGGCUACAGAACUGGAGAGGCUGGGCUAUCCUUGAGCACCAGAGCUCAGACUAUGCUACAUCAAGCUCCAGGUGUAAGACGUGGCCCUUUCUGUGAGCGGGUUUUGCUUUGGUCUGGUCUUUAUGGUGUUCUCAACCUCCAUUUUGGACUGGAAAUACUUAUCCUGUGCUGUUAUAUGUCAAAAAAUACCCACUUAUUUAACAAACAAAUAAAACGAAGGCUCAUAGAAAACAGGAGGACAGUAAAGUUCACGCCCUGCUUUGACUAAGGAGUGAGUCUGAGGAAAGCCUGGGCAACUUAGUGAGAACUUUUUGAAAUAAAAGCACAAUAAGAGGAAGGAAGGAAGGAAGGAAGGAAGGAAGGAAGGAAGGAAGGAAGCAAGGAAGGAAGCAAGGAAGGAAGGAAGGAAAGAAAGAAGGAAGAAGGAAGGAAGGAAGGAAGGAAGGAAGGAAGGAAGGAAGGAAGGAAGGAAAGGAUCCUGAGAUAUGCCUCAGGGUUAGUGUGUUUUGCUCAGCAUGCACAAGGCCCUGGCUUCAAUCUCUAGUGUUGCUAUCAGUCCCCUCAAAGUGUUCCAACAAUGUCAAACAUAACUCAGAAGUGUGUUGUUUCCUUACAGAAAGAAAGAAACUGUAGGCAUGCACAAUAGGAAAAAAUGUAUGCCAGGGUUAGAAGCAAUAAAACUACUUCAAAUCAGAGUAGUAAAUUUGAGACCUGGUAAAUUAGAACAGCAACCAAGGAAAUUGCCUGAAGUUUAAGUUGUAAGACGUACCUACUGUGCUUUAGUGCACACACUGAAGCAAGGCUUUGGUGGGACUGCUCGAGCUACUUCUGGAUAUUUCUGGUCCCCAAGGCUCAUGAUGCAACUUAGCUGCUGUUGGGUUGGUGUGCAGGUGGGACCUCUGCCUUUCCACUUCCACUGCCUGCCCCAGUAUGAAGAACAUGACAAGGACUCGAUCCCUGGCUUCCAGGCUUCCUCAGCCUGGAUCCUGUGAUGUAGCUGUGGUUAUCCUUGACUUUCUGUUCUUGUAAUUUUCUUAAGACUGUUUGUUGGGGGAAAUCAGAGGAAUGAAGAAGAAAACAAAACAAACCAACCAAAAAAUAACCCACAAAAACCAUGUAGGAACAUGGAGGGUUAAAGGUGCAACAGAUGCUGGAGUAGAAGUAGUAAAAGGGAGAAAAUAGAAUGGUGUGGGAAACAUCCUAUCUGAAGGGCGGUGUGCUGAAAGACAUGAAUCCUCACAUUGUAGAAUUAGUAUACAUACAUAUAUAUGUGUGUGUGUGUGUGUGUGUAUGUAUAUAUAUGUAUAUAUAUGUGUGUGUAUAUAUAUCACAGAGAAAUAGAAUGAGAAAUGUGUAUGCAAGUAUAAAUUUUUCUUCCUUUAAAAAGUAAUGCAGAUGCAAAUGUGGAACUAUUACUGUGACAUUUUUGUGAAAGGUAUAAUAUCACUAUAUUGCUUUCUUCUUAUUUACAUGUUUGACGUAUUUCAGACUUAGUAAUCAAAAUAUGAGUCCUGGAAUAUGAGGUCAGGAGAUAGUUUCCUAGUAUGAAUGAAGCCCUGUGCUUCGGUCACCAAAGCAUGAAGCCUGAGGUGAGGGUCGUGAUGAUAAUAUCAGCACUUGGGAAGAGGAAGCCGAGGGUCAGAAGUUCAAAAGCAUCCUAGGCUACAAAGGUCAUUAAGGUACAGUCUUGGCUGUAUAAGACCAUAUCUAAACCAAUAUAUAUGAAAAGUCAAAAAAGUGUUUAACAUUCGUUAAUAAAAUUCCAAUUGCUUAUUGCAAUAACUAUUGCCUCCUAGUCUCAAUGUACCGAGUCCCAGUCCUGAGUAGUAGGUAUCAAAGAGAGUGAAGCGGGCCCUUACUUCACUCUGAAGAGACUUAACAACUUGCCUUCAUGGUGGAAAUGUCAUUUAUGAGUGUUGUUGAACCAAAGCCCUCAGCCUGCUGCGGCUUUAUGGAACGCAAGCGCACACAUCUAUGUGGUUGCUUUCACUGUCUCCAACAAAAGUCAAGAUUUGCAAGCUUAAACUGUUUACUGUUUCCCCCUUUAAGUAAAGAUUUGUCAACCCUUGCCUUAAUGAUGCUUCUUUUUUAUUUCCCUUCAACAAAUUAGCAGUUUGUUUUUACAGUGAAGUCACAAGUCUUACACCGAUUCGAGGUAUAACAAUUACCUCAAUUUGAUGGUUAUAGAUUUGUUAGAGGGGAAGCCUGAGGUAAAACUAAACACCCAAGAACUGUAAAAAUAUCUCUGAGUGUGUGCUUGGCUGCAUCUUCCACCUUCGAGAAUCUCAAAUACUCAAGCAAGGCUGGUUUUUGGGGUAACGUGAGAGUACCAGUUAGCCUUUCUGAUGCUGGAACAGGACCAACUGCCCUCAGAUACAUAGCCCUCUUCCGUAAUGCCCCGCCACAGCCAAAGCCAAGGUCCUUUUACAUUAGCUUACAAUGUAGAGAAAUAACGUAUUUGUUUAGGUAUAGACUUUGCUGCUGAUUUAAAUAUGUUGUCCUUCCAUAUAUAUGUUAAUUUCCUGGAGAAGGGAUGGAGAUGCUGGCUCUUUACAGCUUUUUAGAUGCCUGACAUUCAUGUUAUCGUGCUAUCCGCUCUACAUUAUGCUCGACAAGAAUAAUUUUCCCAUUGGCCAUGGGUGAAAUGGGACUCCAAAACCUCUAUGUUUGCUUAUAGUGGCAGGAAGGCCUUUUUCUUGCUUUUUUCAAGCCAAGUUCUCUUCACUAAGAUUAGAUAUGUUCCUGAUUUAAUCACUUAAGAUAAUAACAAUUAUAAUAACAGCCUCUUUGAAGACGUAUUAUGACUUGCUGCAAACAACUGCAGGGAAAUUCCUGACACAGUACCCCAGGCUCUCUCUUUACAGACUGCACUGGCCCAUUUUGAUCAGUUUGUUCUGUGGAACCACCUCACCCUACCCUACCCAAACUUCCAUACACUCCUAGAGUUUGCACUUGGUUAGUCCCCUUUAAAGAUGGCAGCUCCUGAAUCUCAGCUCCUUUUGCAGGCCUCCAGUGGCCAGUUCACAAGCAAACAUUGAAUUUGUUUGUUCAUUAGCUAAUCAUUAGUAAAUCCCCAAACCUAUAAUGAGCUCACCACUCUCUGAAUUCCUGUAAUAUUGGUAAAAAUUAAAGAGUGCUGGAGAAUGUUUAUAUCGUGUAUGUAAGUAAAAUAUUGUUUCUGUAAUCUCAUUCAAGGCCAAAGACAAUGCCAUAUAUUUCUUUUAAAGUAGCAUUGAAAAGAGACAUGGGCAGGGAGUGACAAGCAGACAGAUGGGCAUGAUCCUACAGCAUGACAAAGAAUUGAGGAUUUGUCUCACCUUUACAUAUAAUGCAUAUAUACAUACUAUUUGAAUAAACAGCUAUUUGAUAAUAUCAGUUUAAAAAUCAUAUUACAUUAAUGAGACAUACUUAGAAAUUCAUUAGAAUUUAUGAGGAUCAAAUCACCCCUCCUUAAACACCGAUCAAAGGCAGAAGAAGAAAAAGGCAAGCAGAACAUCACUACUUCACCUUUGGUCCAAUUGAAAAACCAGUUUCAGAUGGCAUUCAUCUUGAAUGGCUCAUCAAAGCAUUGAGCCUGGACACAGGCAAAAAGAAAUGUGUCAUUUUUCUUUUCUAAGCUAGGAACUAUUCUUGUUCCUCGUUGAAAGUUAGAGUCAGAACCACUAGCUUUGGGCCUGGUAACUUAAGCCUCUUCAUUAUCCUUCUCCCUCUAUUUUUCAUUUUACAUCAGAUUUUCCAAGAUGCCGAAAUGGAUAAUUUCCAAAGAGCAAUAAACAGCUCCCAAAUCCUGAAAUAAACUAAUGUGUAAGACUACCUUUCCUGGGCUGGAGAGAUGGCUCAGUGGUUAAGAGCACUGACUACUCUUCCAGAGGUCCUGAGCUCAAUUCCCAGCAACCACAUGACAGCCAUCUGUAAUGCCAUUUGAUGCCCUCUUCUGAUGUAUCUGAAGAGAAUGUGCUCACAUACAUUAAAUAAAUAAACAAACAAACACAUCAGACCAGACCUUUAAAAAAAGGACUCUCUUUCCAUACAGAAAGUUUACAGAUUCUCAUUAUUCCCAGUGUCCUUCCAGAUUCUGCCCCUCCUUACCACCAGGCUUAAUUCCCUCCAGGCCUGGAGAGAGCCUGCCUUACAUUGUAGUUGUCACCACUAUACACUGGUUACGCUGUCCAAAUAAAAUGGACUUGUAUGCUUUCCAAUCAUCUUCCAAUGAAAUGUCCAGCAACCCUGUGUUGCCUUUUAGGAAAGAUGACAGGGGAGGUAGGGGGUUGGAAGGCAGCCCAAGGAUGAGAGAAAUAAUAAUAAAUGUUUAGGGCUGGUAGUCCUCUUAUAUGCCUAAGACUGAGAGAAGCAUUUCCAAGUAUUCAGUAACAAAGGAAGGCACGAUAUACUCACAGUACAGCAAGUCUGUCCCUAUAGAGCAGAACUGGAUGAGACAGGACUGUUUUCUUCCCCGGAUGAUUCACUAGUGGUUCAUACUAAAGGGAAAGUGUUGGAGAAAGAGUAACGACCAUAAUUCAUGCUCACCCUUUAAGAUAAAACCCACCCUCUCAUCAUUGAGCCUCUAGUAACUUAUAAGCAUUUAUUGUAUAAAUAGAUGUCGAAUAAGUCAAUCAGUUGUUAUUCUGGGAUUUCCUGAGGUGUACUAGUACUAACUUAUGUUACUCUUCAGGUGUCUAUUCUAGAACUCUGAAAUAACAUGUGCAUGUGUGUAUGUGUGUGCAUGUGUAUGAGUGCACUUGUGUGUGUUUGAGUAUGUAAGUGUAUGUGUGCAUGUGUGUGAGUGUGUGUUUGUGUGUGUGUGUGUGUGUGUGUGUGUGUGUGUGUGUGUGUGUGUGUCAGGUGGGGAUAAAGAGAGGUGUUUUCCCCCUUAUUCUCCACUUCAUUUUUUGAUGGGGUCCUCACUGAAUCUAGAUCUCAUUGAAUCACCUAGGUAGGCUGGCUGACAAGCUCCAGGGAUCUACCUGUCUUUGCUUCUUCCAUGGCUGGGUUACAGAUCUUACGAGGCAGUUUCCAGGAAUGUGAUAUAUGGUUUCACUCAGUCUAUCUGCAAAGGAUGAGCCUCGGCUUGGUCAGGGGUCCUAAGGAAGGGUUGUUUGAGAGAGGUGAAAAGAAUGACCCAAAGUCUGAUGGAACUCAGCAGUGGGUUCUGAUGAAAUCACACUGUUUAACAGGUCUCACAUGAAAGAUUUAUUGACAGGGAGGGAGACAGACAAUGCCUUGUGGGGGGAAAUGGGGGAGGAAAAAUGAGGGCUUUUAUCAGGGUCAUGGUACAUGCCAAGAGGACAUGCAACAGGGGCUACAAUGUAUCACCUCCAGGCAGCUGUGAUGACAUGUCUUGCUGUCUCCUGGUCCCUCAGGAGCUGGUUAAGAAGUUGCAUGAUUGCCAACAUUAUCUCGGGGUCCCUUUUGGUUGGUUGUGAAGGUACCUAAUUGCUAACAUUCCUGUCUUUUUCUUUUCAUAAAGAGAACUAGAAGGGGAGCAAUGCUGAUCUGGGAUGUCGGAUUUCUUAAACUGCUUUCUAUUGUCCAGGGGUGUCAUCAAUUUUGGGGUGUAGUUGAUUGAUCCUCAUCAUCAGGACUUAUUCCAUAGUUGUUGGCUUCUGGCUCCUCUGUGGCCAGAGGUUGGUAAUCUUGAAAGAGGAAUUGAUUAAUCACUUGGUUUGGAAAAAUGUUGUCAUUGGAGGAAUGUGUAGAAGUUGAUGAAGCAGGGUGCAAAUAAUAAAAACAUAAAAAUGAGAAAAAGAGGGUCAGGAGAAGCAGUAUCCAUUUCCAUGUGGGAUUUUCCAAGGCCCAGGGCUCAGAGACAUUGAGUUGUUCCUUAUGUUUUUGGAGGUCUGUUUGGAGUUGUUGGGUUUUAUUUUUUACUAUACCAACUGGUUGACAUAGAAGGAGCACUCCUUUUGGAGAAAAAGGCAAAGGCCAUCCUCUUCAGCCACAGGGUCUAGUCCCCAUCAGUUUUGAAGUAUCACUGCUGCCAGGGAAUCAAUGUGUCCUUGGAGGGUGAGUAUGGCUUGGGUCACCUGUUGAAGCUCUUGGAUAAACUGUGAAGAGAACUGAUGGUAUACGGUUAGGGAUGUGGCCAGUCUUGCUGUUCAGGUACCAACAACCGAAAUUGUUCUUGCAACAGCCAAGAGGGGCAGGAUUUAAAUUGAUAUGCUGAGCAGCUAUUGAAUCCACAACCGAGAUUGGUAGUGGCUUCUCUCUAUGCAUCAUCCCUAUUUUAGGGAAAAGAAACACCAGUGUACAAACUCCUGACCAACUAGCAGAUGGACGAUGAUAUCCCUGAGUACCAUAAAAAGUCAGCAUGUUCUGGACUGUAGGGCACUGUGGUAGAGAGGAGUUAUCAAGAAUUAUGGUUUUGUUACAGUCUAGGGAACUUAAGAUUUCUACAGAAUGUGUCCCGGAUGCCUUGAAGCAGUCUGCCAUGCCAAAAAGAGUGAUAUAGAAAAGGUAGGGGGUCAUGGCAUCACCAGGGUCAGGCCAGUUGGUGAAAGGCAAAGCAAGGGUAUUUGGCAGGGUCACUGGAGAAACUGUAAGUGGGAAUUGUAAGAAGGUUCCAGGGGACACACAUAGCAAGCAGCCAGGUUGAAUGAUAUUAAGGAGUGGAUAGGUUCAGGUCAGAGUCUGGAGCAGAAGGAAAAAAUGGAUCUCCAGUGGUUCCUCUGGAUAAAAAUGAACUAGAUUGGGGAAGAGAAACCCUUGUCUAAUCCAGUAGGGUGGAGUGCAACUGCCAGAGUGAAGCAUCAUUCUUCUGGGACAAGGUGGUUGGUUCUGAUGUCUGCUGAAGCUUAAAGGAACAGGGUCUUGUUGGGAGUCAAUAUGUAAGAAGUUAUUUUGAGGUGAAGGGGUAAAGGGUUUGGCAUGAGGCAGGUAAAUCCAGUGAGAGAGUCCCUCAAGCUUACCAGCUGAGGCCACUAGAAUUACCUUGAAGGGGCCCUGCCAUUUAGGUUAAAGAUGUGGUCAUGAAGGUAGGGAGGGGAAAGAAGGACCUGAUCUUCAAGGUUGGUAGGGAACGGACAGGAGAUAGUUAGUAUGCGACCAGGAUAGGUGUUGGUCAGUAAAGUUCCAUAUCAGGGAGCAGAGAUGACAGAGUAAGGGAGCAAGUGGUGAACGGUGAUCAGGGAGCAGAGAGGGUCUGGGUAAAAGACCAGGAGUCAGAACUAGUUGUCCACACAUGAUCUCAAAGAGUGAGAUGAAAAAGAGAUUGCUUGGGGAAAGUCCUUAGCCUAAAAAAAAAGCAGAGGUAGGAAUUUUACCCAAUCGAGGUGAAGUUCCUGGGACAGUUUGACAUGGGUGAUUUUUAAGGACUGGCUAGUCCCUUCUCUCUCCUGAGACCUGGAGAUGAUACAGAAUAUGAAAAUACCAAAGGAUGCUGAGGGCUUUAGAUAGGGUUUAAGAAACUUGGGAUGUGAGUUCAUGACCAUUGUUUGACUGGAGGGAGACCGGGAUUCAAAAUUAAAGGAUGAGAUCACGGAGCAGAUCAGAGACUAUCUGAGCCCUUUUUUGGUGGUGGGGAAUGCCUCUACCUACCCCGAGAAGGUGUUCACCAAGAUCAGGAGAUAUUUGACACAUUUAACAGUGUUCAUUGUGUAUAAAAUCAAGUUGUCAGUCAGUCCUAGGGCGGUUACCCCUCGCCCGGUGGGUAGGAUACGUGGAGUUGGGGUAUAAUGCAAAUUUUUCAAGAGGAAGUGAUAGAUUUAAGAAUGCAAGUCCUCAGGAGUAGACUGAAGGUGAAUUUUCACAAAGGUUUGACUGUGGGAAUGAAAGAGCUUGUAUAGAUAGGAUUGUAUAGCUAGGACAGUUUGACAAGUGUCAGAGGGUAGCAGGGGGCAAGUGGGUUAUACUGUGAGAAUAUCCUGUGGUGGGUGGAACAAGCCCCCAAGUACCUCAGCUCUAGCUGCCUCUUCAGCCCAGCUAUCACCCUUAGAGAUAAUACAGUUGUCCAUCUGGUGGAACUGGCUGUCAACAAAUCCAAAGGUCAUGGGGAGAUGGGAGGCUUUUAGCAUGGCCAUAAUUUGGACUGCAUUAGUUAUGGAUCCUCCUUUUGUUGUAAGUAUCUCAUGUUCUUUCCAGAUAGCAGAGUGGUACAGGAGAAUAUUUAGAGUCUGUAUAGAUGUUUAGGGAUUAUCCCUUUCCCAACAGAAAGGUAAGAGCUGUUAGUUCAGUCUGUUGAUUAGUGUUAUGGACAGGGACGUCCCAUGCCUUGACCACCUCAGUAUCUGACACUAGACCAUUGCCAGCUCUUCGGGCUCCUUCAUGGAUAAAGGAGAUGCCAUCUGUAUAUCAGGCAGAGAUGGCCUGAGACAAUGUGCCCUCCUGUUGUGUGAGGGAUGGGGCAAUAGUUUGUCUAAGGUUUUAGUGCAGGAAUGAGAUAGAGAGUGGUCAGCAUUUGGUUGAGGAAGAAGAUUUGAGAUAUUGAGAGGUUGGUAUAAUUGGAAAGUAAGCGUGGAGUCUUCUAUUAGUGCUGCACAAAAGGAAAGAAACUGGAGGAAGGUAGAGUCUGUAAGUUAGGAGCUGGGUCAGGUUUUGAGAAGAGAAGAUUGUGACAGAUGAGCCAAAGGGUAGUGUUUUGGGUUCUCCAACAAGCAGUUCAGCAGCUGCUCAGGGACAUAUGCAGGGUGCCCAUCCCUGGAUGGUCAGCUCUAACUUUUUUGGAAAGUACGCUAUGGGUGCAAAGGGGGGCCCCAGUUGGAUGACCUAAGACUCCAAGGACAUAUCCCUCUUUUUCUGUUAGAAGGGACGGGUUAAAUCUGUGAGUGUAAGGCUAGGACCUGACAAACAGUGAGCUCCUCCAAGCUCAUGAAACACUGGAACUGUGUCAGCAUGGAUUUAAAAGAACAAACUACUACCAUUCCAAAAAGCAAACAGUAGAGUUCUUCUGCGUGCUACACAUGGAAUGUUGUAAAUCUGGCCUCAACAUAGUUUGGAGAAUGUUGGGAUGCGAUUACAAAAUGAGAGAUGAAGAAUUCUCCAGCAUCGAUGCAAAGAUUUUACCUUUGUGGAAAGUAAUUAACACAGCACCAUGUACUGAAAAGAAGAUCCUUUCCUACUUCGAAGUGUAAUCCUUGUCAAAGAUCAUGUGAUUGAAUCCAUAGGAUUUUAUCUAGAUGUUUUCAUCCUGGUCCAAAGAGUGAAGUCCCCAUUUCAAUUCUGUACUGUCUCAGUUUGGGUCACAUUACAAUAAACCGUGCUGUCUGUGAGUGGAAGCUUUCAGCUUGCCUCCUUUUUUAAGACUUUAUUCUUCUUAGCACUUUAUAUUUCCUACACAAACACACACAUACACAAACACACACAUACACAAACACAAACACACACACACACGCACACGCAAACACACACACACUUCUUCUAUAACUUUUCCAACAUGAAUUAACAUUAGCUUUUUUUUUUUUACAUAACUUUCGGAUAUGUAUGUCUAUAAAUAAAUACAUCACAAUACAAGUUAGGCUGGGAUAACUGAGUUUUGUUACUCUUUUGGAAUGAGGUGACUAUCCGCUGGACUUUUUGCUGUGAUUGAAUUAAUCACUUUGGGAGAAAAUCGGGUGAAGACACCAAGUCUACUUCAGGAACACACUAUAAAGAAGUUUCUAAAUUUUUGCUCAAUAAAGAUUUCAGUCAGUACUAUCUUUCCUGAGAAAAUGGACUAUCCUGAAUCUAUUAUUUAUUUUGUUGCACAUUAAUGAGAGGGAACUCUCCAUCCAGAUCAUGUAUAAAGAGCACUUGUAGAAAAAGAAGAGCUUAAAAAAAUCAAUCAUCAAACAAACAAAUAAACAAGAAGCAAAAAAACAAAACACAGACUUUUCUCCUGUCCACCAAUACUCACAGCUGUGUUGGCUGAGACAUUUUUUGUGAUCUUGCCCCAUGUUUUCAUUUUGUCAUAGCCAACUUGGUAUUUUUAUGGAUGUCACUUACCCUUUAGUAGCAGUUAACAUAAAGGUUCCUUGUGAAUCAUUUCAUUUUUUGAAAAUGUGUACUGACGAGUUAGUUUCUACAAAAUAACUUGCCAUACGCUAUUAGUAUUUUCAAGUAUUCCAGAAACCUGUUCCCUCUGUAUAUUUAGUAUUUGCUGUGUGAUUUAAUCAUCAAAUACUGUACUGAUAACGCAUUCUUCCCCCCUCCCCCUCUCUCAAUCUCUGUCGCUUCAAUUUUAAUUUAGGUUCUCUUUCCUACUGAAUCUGACUAUAUAUCUACUUUAAAAUUCAUCAGUUGUAAAAAUUAUUGAUAGAAUUGCUUAUGAUCUGUUGUUUCAAAAAGUUAUGAUUGGAUACCAUUAAACUUCUUAUAUCUUUGACUUUAAAAUAAAAAUCAGUGGUUACAUUGCCUCUGCUCUAGAUCCAAUCCUGUUUACAUAAAUUUAUUGAAAAUAUUUUACUGAAAUUCUGAAAAAAGAUUACUCAAUUCUCACUCCUCAACCUUUACCAACCCUGCUCCCAUUCUCUACUACCUUCUACAUUUAUGCUUCUUGGCUGACUCUCAACUUUACUAACAAGCUAGCAACAGAAAACCCAGAAUUUGUGUAAGAACUUCAUGCUCCCAAGAUUUCCUAGGUAGAUAUAAAUCUUUUCUCCACAGGAUUCACAAAACUCAAUACAAAUUUAAUUAUCCUUCACAACAUGGUCAAAAGUUGGGGAAAUGAAAAAAAAACGCAGAGAUGAAAUUCAUAUCAAGAACAAAACCAAAAUCUAAAAACCAAUAAUAGCUAAACAACACCCAGCACAUGUGCACUCCCAGGUUAAAAUCCAAAGCUUUUAACUCCUACUGUACCUAACCUAAUUCAUCUCAUUGUGUUGCCUACAAUCUAUUUGUUAUCUAUAAAUAUUACAAAGUUACAUGCUAUCAAAGGGCACAGUUUUUAGGAAGACUUAAUACUUUUAAAAGUAUACCAUAAAUAGGAGCAACCAGCCAAGCAAAUUUUAACACAUAAUUUUUUAAAAAAUCAUAAAAUUAUUUACUUUAAUAAAGAAAUGGAUUUGACACAUUUAACAUGCCAAGAUACUCUAAUGCUUAUGGGUGGUUCUAAGAGACGUCCAUACUGAGGUGUACAGGCCAUUGUUGACAUUUGGCACGCUGCCUCAUGAAUUUUCAGGUGCGGGUUUGAUUAUUUUCCAUUUUAUGGUGUAAACUGAGAUGCUGUGUGCAGCUGUUUUCUCCAGGAUCAUCAGGUGACCAUGGGCUGUCAGACUACAUGGACGCUGGUUUCCACGGGAACCAGAGCCUUGUCCAGCAGAUCACAGACCACCCGUUUUUACAAAUGGCUUCUACAAAGAAGCUUUUUUUUUAAAAUUAUUAUUAAAUAGAGAUAUAUUUAACUCUGCAAAUGUUAUUCUUAAAUUGGUUUGCCUUUGGAAAGAGAGGUUUUCACUCUCCUGAAAAUUAAAGAAUAUUAUGAUCAUAAUCCAUAAACUCAAAUUCAGAGAGCCACUGUCACUAUUUAUUUAGUAUUGAUGAAACUUGGUGCUUUGAAUACAACUUAGAUCAUUAACUCUUUUAACAGGGCAAAAGAUACAAGGAAUAAAAGAUGUGAAGCUAAAACCUUUGUCAGAAGCAGUUGUUUCAGAAGAGCUACUGACUAGGAAAUAGAAUUUUUUUCCUCAAUGUCCUCCUCAACUGUUCCCCUUAUUUUAUCUCACAAUAUUAGCAUGUUGGAAAAUGAUUCAGAAAAUACAAGAGCAUGAAGAAAGGACUUGUAGCCAGGCAUGGUGGUCCUUACCUAUCAACCUACUCUGUCAUCCAAAGUAAUCCCAACACUUAGGAGGCUGAAGCAGGACUCUGAGGGGCCAGCCUGAGCUACGUAGUCAUCUCUGAUGACAACAGAGCAGAAUUCUCAGGAAGAAAGGCUUUUGACUCCGGGGCCACGGAGCCAGAGAUAGAGAGGACCCUGUAUUUUCAGGUUCACUUCUCCUGAAAAUGAAGAACUAUGUUGUCAAAGUACCCAGAUUUCAAUCAUGAUGUUAUUUAAUGUUACAAUGGGAACAAUAAAGUCUGUUUUACAAGUGUGUGCACAUAGUCUAGGUGAUCCAGGGAUGUCCGUGGUCAACUACCUGUGUCCUUGUUAGAACCCUCCUCCCCCAGACACCACUAUCAUAAAGUCCAGAACAAUUGCCUUCUCUACGACUAAGAAACAACUCUCUGCUAUUUGUCUCGGUAACAGUCCUUGUUCGGAAAUAAGGGACUGUGUUGUCUCAUUCACAAUUAUAUAGUGUUUGUUUACAAAUGGCUUGUUGCUUUCCAUGAGAAAAUUUAUCUCUUUAUGCUCUCCUUCCUCAAAGUCAUUAAACAUGGCCAUUCAAAAAUGUUCUUGUCUUCUUUCUACCAGAUCAUGCUUCCGCUGUGUUUAAUACACCGAGUAAGGCUUGUCAACGACACAGUUUGUACAGGUUAAUUCUUAUUAGAACACUUCCUUCUCCAUCCCCAUUCCCUCUCUUUAAAUUAAACACAUCUUUCUCUUCAUAUGACCUUCAGUUACAGUUGCAUGUAUGUGUCAGCGAGGCUCUUUCCACUGUAAUUAAUGAAAAGCCAGGCUAACAGUAGCUUAAACCAUCAGAAUACCAACUGUUUACAUAAACAGAAGUCUGGAGGCAGGGCUGUGCCUGGGAGACAGCAGAUCAAAUUAGACCUAAGGCUGUCUUAUGGCUUCCGUGGUGGCAGAAACCAAUCUGAUUUCUGUCAGUCUGGGCUGAGUUAGUAAUUGAAAACACCUAGCUUAAGUGAGGGCAGAAGCAACCAGCAGGCAGAUCAUGUCAGAGCUGGGAAUAACACAUACCAACCUGUUAAGAUAAGCUAUUAGAAAGGACUUGACAACAACUCGGUCUCACAGAAAUAACAGGUAACAAAUCUGUUUUCUGGGGAAACUAGAUGGAAAGAGCUGGGGGAAAGAGCUGGAAUGUCCGUGACUAACUUGUCCUCAUUUAUCACACAUUAAAUUACUGCUUGAUACUCGUGAGCCACCCUGGCCCGAGGAGGUCAGGGCACUGGUGGCUAAAGACUAUUCUUAUUUUCAAGCUCAUAUUCUCAUGGAGAAGACAUGCAUAUAAAUAAUUACACUCCCAUGUGUUGAGUGUUCUAAUGGUUACAUACAAAAUGAUAGGGAAACCACACAGACAACGACUCCACCCAUGAUGCCAGGGAAGGCACCUCUCUAAAGAUGGCUUCAAGGAAGGAAUGUCUCAGUUAACCUUUCCUGCUGUUAUGACAAGUACAGCUUAAGGGAGAAAGAGUUUAUUCCUGUUCAUAGUGGAGGGGGUCCAUUGGACAUGGUAGGGAAAUCGAGGAAGCAGGAGCUUGAAGCAGUGUCAUGUUAGGCCUGCAUUCAGAAGUGAGACCAAGGAAGGCAAGGCUGUGCUCAAUUUGCUGCCUCCAUUCUAUACAGGUCAGGGUUCUCCACCCAAAGAACAGCCCCACCCACCAUUAAGUUGAGUUCCCCAUCAAAUAAUGCAGCCACAGGCAUGCGCAGAAGUCCAUCUCCAUUCUAGAUCCUACCAAGCUCACAGUUUUAAUAGGAACCAUCACAAGGGGGAAAACAGUCCAAACAUCAGAACAGGUUAGGAAGUGAAUGCAGGGAAUGAGCACAGAAAAUUACCUCACAAGACUUAAAUGUUGCUGUCAUCAAUGCUGUAAAUGCACAUUUAUGACGCAAAGAUUAAUAUGUUGAUGACCUGUUAUGGGUUCUCCCCAUAUUCAGUUGAUAAAAGUUUUGGCCUCUAAGAGAUUAUUACGUAUCAAAGAAAGUGAUAGCUACGUUAGCUACAUAAUAGUAGACAUCUCUGUCUCUCUGUCUGUCUGCCUGUCUGUCUGUCUCUCUGUGGAUUUUAGAGGCAGGGUUUCUCUGUGUAGCCCUGGCUAUCCUGGAGCUUGCUAUGUAGACCAGUCUGGACUUAAACUAAGACAUCCACCUGCCUCUGCCUCCCAGAGCUUGGCUUAAAACUGUGCACCACCACCACCACCAUAUUUCAAAUAAGAGA